AAAUAAAUUUUUAUUAAAAAUUAUGGUUAGUUUAUAUUGUAUAAAAAAAUAUAUAUUUUAUUAAGUUAAUAAAAAAAAUUGUUUUAAUGAUAGUUAAUAGUAUUGUGGGAGAAAUUAUAUUUUAUUUAACAGAAAAGUUUAUUUUUUGUACCUUGUGUAUCAGGGUUUAAUUAAUUUAUAGUAGGUAUUUAUUAAUCUCGAAUUUGAAAGGGUGAAAAAUUUAAUUUUUUUAUUGUUAAAUAAAUAUUUAAAAUAAGUUUUUAGUAAUGAAAUGUUAUUCGUUUUCAAUAAUAUCUAGUUUUUUAAGAAAAAAAUUUAAUUUUAUUAUUAUAAAUAUUUAUUUUUUUAUAUUAGUUGGUUAUUAAUAAUAAUAAAAAAUUUUAGGGAUGAGCUUAAAAUUUAAGUUUUAUUAAAAUUUAGGUUGUAUUUAAAAAUUAGAAUUAGAAAUUUUUAUAUUUUUAUAUAUGUUAUUAUUUAUGUUUAUUUAAAUAUUAUUUAUAUUUUUUAUAAAUUAUUUAUUAAAAUUUAAGUUUAAAUUAUAAAAAUUUAGUAAUUAUGUUAAAAUUAGUAUAAAUUGUUAUAGGGAUAAUAUAAAUUUUUAUAUAAUAUGAAGGAAUUCGGCAAAUUAAUUUUCACCUGUUUAUUAAAAACAUGUCUUUUUGUUAUAAAAUAUAAAGUCGGGCCUGCCCCCUGAAAUUUAAAUGGCCGCGGUAUUUUGACCGUGCUAAGGUAGCAUAAUCAUUAGUUUUUUAAUUGAAAACUGGAAUGAAGGGUUUGAUGAGAAAUUAGCUGUCUCCAUAUUAAUAAUUAAAAUUUUAUUUUUAAGUUAAAAAGCUUAAAUUGUAUUAAAAGACGAGAAGACCCUAUAGAGUUUAAUUUAUUAUUAUUAAUAUUUUUAUAGAAUUAAUUUUAUAUUAAUAAUUGUAAAUUUAAUUGGGGUGAUUGAAAAAUUUAAUUAACUUUUUUUUUAUUAUUAUAUUUAUAGAUAAGUAAUUGAUCCAAUAAAAUUGAUUAUAAGAUUAAAUUACCUUAGGGAUAACAGCGUAAUUUUAUUGGAGAGUUCAAAUUAAUAAUAAAGAUUGCGACCUCGAUGUUGGAUUAAAAUUAAUAAUAGGUGUAGAAGCUUAAUAAUUAAGUCUGUUCGACUUUUAAAAUUUUACAUGAUCUGAGUUUAAACCGGUGUAAGCCAGGUUGGUUUCUAUCUUUAAUUUAUUAUUAUAUUUUAGUACGAAAGGACCAAAUAUAUGAAAUAUUUUUUUGUUUUGAUAUAAAUU
This 1274-nucleotide ribosomal RNA is filed under the name Gastrolina thoracica. Its description in RNAcentral is "large subunit ribosomal RNA". The record is from RNAcentral. Lineage: Eukaryota; Metazoa; Arthropoda; Insecta; Coleoptera; Chrysomelidae.